This 237-nucleotide ribosomal RNA is filed under the name uncultured bacterium. RNAcentral's name for it is "partial 16S ribosomal RNA". It matches the Rfam family "Bacterial small subunit ribosomal RNA", at positions 100 to 334 of the family's 1533-position model. The record is from RNAcentral.
CCGGCACGGGUGAGUAACACGUAUCCAACCUGCCGUCUACUCUUGGACAGCCUUCUGAAAGGAAGAUUAAUACAAGAUGGCAUCAUGAGUCCGCAUGUUCACAUGAUUAAAGGUAUUCCGGUAGACGAUGGGGAUGCGUUCCAUUAGAUAGUAGGCGGGGUAACGGCCCACCUAGUCUUCGAUGGAUAGGGGUUCUGAGAGGAAGGCCCCCCACAUUGGAACUGAGACACGGUCCAA